AGGAUGAACGCUAGCGGCAGGCUUAAUACAUGCAAGUCGUGGGGCAGCAUGAGUAGCAAUACUUGAUGGCGACCGGCAAACGGGUGAGGAACACGUACACAACCUUCCUUCAAGCGGGGAAUAGCCCAGAGAAAUUUGGAUUAAUACCCCAUAAUAUAUUUGAUAAGGCAUCUUAUUAAUAUUAAAGCUUCGGCACUUGAUGAUGGGUGUGCGGCUGAUUAGAUAGUUGGCGGGGUAACGGCCCACCAAGUCUACGAUCAGUAGCUGAUGUGAGAGCAUGAUCAGCCACACGGGCACUGAGACACGGGCCCGACUCCUACGGGAGGCAGCAGUAAGGAAUAUUGGACAAUGGACGAAAGUCUGAUCCAGCCAUGCCCGCGUGAAGGAUUAAGGUCCUCUGGAUUGUAAACUUCUUUUAUAUGGGACGAAAAAAGGGCAUUCUUGUUCACUUGACGGUACCAUAUGAAUAAGCACCGGCUAACUCCGUG
RNAcentral lists this ribosomal RNA (488 nucleotides) under uncultured bacterium. RNAcentral's name for it is "bacterial SSU rRNA". It matches the Rfam family "Bacterial small subunit ribosomal RNA", at positions 26 to 507 of the family's 1533-position model. The record is from RNAcentral.